CUCUCUUUUUUUAUGUUUGAUGUAGACCUCAGCACAUACCUAGACGAAGUACUGUAGAGGACAACAACUUGUCAAUGGCAUGAAUCACAAGAAAGAAGUAAGAAGGUUUUCCAGUAUAUCUAUUAUUUAUUAGAGUCUAGAGUCUAUACAAAUCAAAAUCAAAAUCAAAAUGAACUCAUUGAAAAGUACGAAAUGUAUACGUAUAUAGGACCAUUCUACUGCUAAUCUCAAAACCCUAGGGAAAUGUGCGUGAAGCAAUUUUCAAGGGACCAUGACAACUACAAAAAUAGAGGUCUAGUUUGUUG
RNAcentral lists this long non-coding RNA (305 nucleotides) under Prunus dulcis (almond). Its description in RNAcentral is "sRNA ncRNA". The record is from RNAcentral. Lineage: Eukaryota; Viridiplantae; Streptophyta; Magnoliopsida; Rosales; Rosaceae.